GAAACACGCUUGGGCCUGGUUCAAGGCCUAGCGUUGAGUCCAUGAACAAGAGAGGGUGCAACAGGAGGUGUGAAUAUCAGGUUUGGGCCCUAGGCACAAACAAACUUACACAAACCAGAUCCAAACACGACUUCAAGGAGUUAUUAGGUCAUCUCUCGAUUCUCAACGGCGACACCAAAACCUUCAACCUUCAUUCCAAAUAAUCAUGCGCUCUCUCCUCCUUUUAUCUCAAUUCCAAAAUUUGAUGCACAACAGAAACAUCACGAACACGAUUUCACGUUUAAGCUUCAGCAUCUUCACCAUGCGGUAUGAGAAGAAUGUGAAAUCGCGAUGUAACGGAUCGUGAACAUCAAGAAGUAAAAAGAAAAACCCACUAGAUUUGAAUCCGACGCGGUGGUUCUAGCAACGUCGAAGACUUUGCAGAUGGUCACGACUGUAGUUCUGUUGCAGAGAUGUUGUUGAAGUUAAAAUACAUGGUGAACAUCUUGGUCAUGAGUUAUUGGGAACUUUGCAGGUUUUGGUCAUGAUCCUACUAUUAACAAUAGGUGCAUUAGUUAAUCAGUAAAGUCGACAUUAAGUUACUUCUUGGCUUGAAGAACUUUGGACUUGGAGUUUAUUUGUAAAUUUAUGAAUUGAAACAAUGUAAAUUGUAAUUUGAUGUGAAUUAUGGAAUUGUUAUGAAAUGGAAAGUUGGAAUGAAUUUACAAAUUGACAUUGAAUGAGAUAUGGAAAUCAUGAAUGUGUAUUGAUUUUAAAGUUCUGUUUGAAUGGAUAUUUGAAUAAGUGACAUUGGCUUGUUUAUGGUA
Lathyrus oleraceus (garden pea) is the source of this 806-nucleotide long non-coding RNA. RefSeq lists it as uncharacterized. The transcript has 2 exons. The record is from RefSeq and is a predicted model, not a curated record. Lineage: Eukaryota; Viridiplantae; Streptophyta; Magnoliopsida; Fabales; Fabaceae.